CGCAUCUGUGCAUGCAGCAUAUCAAUAAGCGGAGGAAAAGAAACUAACAAGGAUUCCCUUAGUAACGGCGAGUGAAGCGGGAAGAGCUCAAAUUUGAAAUCUUCAAGGUUUACCUUGACGAAUUGUAGUUUAAAGAAGUGUUUUCUGCUGAAGUUUUGGUAAAAGUUCUUUGGAAUAGGACAUCAUAGAGGGUGAGAAUCCCGUAUUUGACCAUUAUUUUCAGCUUUGUGAUACACUUUCAAAGAGUCGGAUUGUUUGGGAAUGCAGUCCAAAAUGGGUGGUAAAUUUCAUCUAAAGCUAAAUAUUGGCGAGAGACCGAUAGCGAACAAGUACCGUGAGGGAAAGAUGAAAAGAACUUUGAAAAGAGAGUUAAACAGUACGUGAAAUUGUCAAAAGGGAAGCGUUUGACACCAGUGUUGUUUUCUCGAAAAUCAAUUAAAAAUGGCUCGAUUUUGUAUUGCUUGAGACCUUAAAAGCUCACUGUAGCAUUUUUCGUGUCUUUUUUAAUGCACUUUUCGUUUAACAAGUCAACAUCAGUUUCUUUUGUUGUAAAAGGGUCAUUGGAAGGUGGCUUUCUUUUCGGAGAAAGUGUUUAUAGCCUUUGGCCUCUGCAAUCGGAAGAGACUGAGGUCUGCAGCGUAGACUCUUCGGGGUUAGAUACAUUUGUGCUAAGUUAUAGCUUUUUAUAGACAACUUGUUGACUAUAAUUAGUCUUGUAGCUUACUCGCUUAUGCUAUUUUACCUACGCUUAGGAUGUUGACGCAUGAGAUAUACGC
Molecule: ribosomal RNA, 776 nt
Filed under: uncultured Neocallimastigales
Lineage: Eukaryota; Fungi; Neocallimastigomycota; Neocallimastigomycetes; Neocallimastigales
Description: partial large subunit ribosomal RNA
Rfam family: Eukaryotic large subunit ribosomal RNA
Source: RNAcentral